GACAACGCUGGCGGCGUGCCUAACACAUGCAAGUCGAACGAAGCAUAGCAAUAUGCUUAGUGGCGGACGGGUGAGUAACGCGUGAACAAUCUGCCCUGUACAAAGGAAUAGCCUCGGGAAACCGGGAUUAAAACCGUAUGACACUUUAGUAUCGCAUGAUAAGAAAGUCAAAUCGAAUAGAGGUAUGGGAUGAGUUCGCGUCUGAUUGGCUGGUUGGCGGGGUAACGGCCCACCAAGGCGACGAUCAGUAGCCGGCCUGAGAGGGUGAACGGCCACACUGGAACUGAGACACGGUCCAGACUCCUACGGGAGGCAGCAGUGGGGAAUAUUGCACAAUGGAGGGAACUCUGAUGCAGCGACGCCGCGUGAGUGAAGAAGGUCUUCGGAUCGUAAAACUCUGUCCUUGGUGAAGAAAAGGACGGUAGCCAAGGAGGAAGCCCCGGCUAACUACGUG
This 454-nucleotide ribosomal RNA is filed under the name uncultured bacterium. RNAcentral describes it as "bacterial SSU rRNA". It matches the Rfam family "Bacterial small subunit ribosomal RNA", at positions 32 to 507 of the family's 1533-position model. The record is from RNAcentral.